ACACGUUCCAUGGUGAAUCUAUUUCAUUUAAGGUAAAAUAUUCUUUUUGGUCCUUUAACUUUACCUCAGGGUCCAUUUUGGUCCCUCAAUUUUAAAAAUUUCCAAGUUGAUCCUUUAAUUUUCCAAACAUCGUCAUAAAAGUCAUUUCCGUCUAUUUUGCUCAAACGGUGUUUGCUUAUGCACGCAUUGCAGAGUUGGCAAUGAACAAUCAUCUUCAUCAUCG
Molecule: long non-coding RNA, 223 nt
Filed under: Lathyrus oleraceus (garden pea)
Lineage: Eukaryota; Viridiplantae; Streptophyta; Magnoliopsida; Fabales; Fabaceae
Description: Pisum sativum (pea) long non-coding RNA (PSAT_LNC018428)
Source: RNAcentral